This 427-nucleotide ribosomal RNA is filed under the name uncultured bacterium. Its description in RNAcentral is "partial 16S ribosomal RNA". It matches the Rfam family "Bacterial small subunit ribosomal RNA", at positions 355 to 774 of the family's 1533-position model. The record is from RNAcentral.
UGGGGAAUAUUGCACAAUGGGCGCAAGCCUGAUGCAGCCAUGCCGCGUGUAUGAAGAAGGCCUUCGGGUUGUAAAGUACUUCCAGCGAGGAGGAAGGCGUUGUGGUUAAUAACCGCAACGAUUGACGUUACUCGCAGAAGAAGCACCGGCUAACUCCGUGCCAGCAGCCGCGGUAAUACGGAGGGUGCAAGCGUUAAUCGGAAUUACUGGGCGUAAAGCGCACGCAGGCGGUCUGUCAAGUCGGAUGUGAAAUCCCCGGGCUCAACCUGGGAACUGCAUCCGAAACUGGCAGGCUAGAGUCUUGUAGAGGGGGGUAGAAUUCCAGGUGUAGCGGUGAAAUGCGUAGAGAUCUGGAGGAAUACCGGUGGCGAAGGCGGCCCCCUGGACAAAGACUGACGCUCAGGUGCGAAAGCGUGGGGAGCAAACA